RNAcentral lists this long non-coding RNA (8619 nucleotides) under Brassica napus (rape). RNAcentral's name for it is "long non-coding RNA (BNAP_LNC003138)". Lineage: Eukaryota; Viridiplantae; Streptophyta; Magnoliopsida; Brassicales; Brassicaceae. The record is from RNAcentral.
AUGAUAUUGGCAUGAGCAUAGACGAUGCCGCCAUUAUCAGUGUAGAUGACAACAUUAGCUUUGUAUCCGUCAUUGAAAAGACGAUCCCACAUAUCUUUUGUGGCUGUGGGAACGCAGGUGUGCUCUGGAGCUACAUCGUUACGGUAUCUUUUUUGGUGACCAUCAGAUUUUGAAGGAAGAGGUGGAGGGAUCGGUACAGAAGAAGAAUCAGCAGCUUUUUGAAGAUCAACACAAGCCAUCACCAUUUCUCCUUUUUAUCUUUUCCCUCCCUGAAGCAAAACCAAUUGAAACUUUUGAUUAUAUGUUAAAUACAGAGAUCUUUGCUUUUACUUCACACAAUAAAAAUUCUAUGAAUAAUCCAUUAUCAUUUCACAAAUGUUUUUAAAACCUUUAUUUACGAUCAAGAAUCAUAACAUAUCUUUGAAACUUUUUUCAAGAUUCCAUGAAACAGUUUAACCAUAAUCGUUUUUUCCUCACGCAAUACAGAAAAACAAACAAUGGUCGAGAUCAAACACUAGAUAAUUCAAAACAGAUGAAUAGAGAAAAUGUUAAGAAACAAGAACAUACCUCCUUCAAACGAGCUAAGCUAGAAUCUUGAUUCUGACCGAACCGUUAGAGCAAGUUCAAUCAAAAUUAACUCAAUUAUGAGAAUAUAUAUAAAAGUCUCCUCCUUCCUCUAACCAGCAGGAGAAGAAACUCUAUAGAGAAGCUUCAAAACAGAUCACAGAUCUCUUCUCAUUAUAUAAACACAAACACACUCUCGAAACAAGGGAACACGACAAAAGAUCUUUUGAAGAAAAUAAAUAAAUUGGAUAUUUAUUUUUGUUGCUCACUUUUUUUCUUUCCGUCAAUUAUUAUUACAAAGAUAUUUUCUUGUUCAUCACCGCCAAACAAACAACACCUGCGCAAAAAAUCACCGAGGGGCGCGUGGAUGCUACGGUUACGAAACGGACGGCUGAGAGCGAUUACGCAGGAUAAGUCACCUCUCUGCACACUAGUGUCACCACGGAGGUCUCCUCCUCCACUCCAUACGCCACCUCCACCUCCACCUCCUCCCCCUCCUCCUCGUCCUCCUCCGCCUCCGCCUCCUCAGAUACGGCCAAGAGAUUUCCAGAUACCUCGAAAGCUCAGCAAUCCAGAAGCAACGAAGCCAGACGAUCAAUCAAGAAAACUAGCAUUCAAGACUCCAAGUCCUCAAUCGAAAGCUGUUGAAGAGGCCAAAAGUGUAUCAGCUGACGGGGACACGGAUCCAAGCAAGCCAAAGUUGAAGCCACUCCACUGGGACAAAGUACGCGCGAGCUCUGAUCGUGCCACAGUUUGGGACCAGCUCAAAUCAAGCUCAUUCCAGUGCGUAUUACUGUCUUCUGCAUUGUUGUGAAACAUACGUUUGAAUUUUCCGUUUUCGAUAACUAUUUGAAUCUUUGUGGUAUUAUUAAACAGAGUGAACGAAGAUCGGAUGGAGCAUCUGUUUGGUUGCAGUUCAGCAAGUUCAGCUCCAAAGGAACCUGUGAGAAGAUCAGUGAUGCCUCCAGCUGAGAAUGAGAACAGAGUACUUGAUCCAAAGAAAUCUCAGAACAUUGCAAUCCUCUUGAGAGCACUGAACGUAACUCGUGAGGAGGUGUCAGAAGCUCUUUUAGAUGGUAAGUUGUUGUCUCCCACUUGAUUCAUUACUUACGGUAAAGUUACCUUUUGCACAAAGUAACGUUUGGCCUUAACCUAGAUCGUUAUAAGUUAGUAAGCUAUUUGUAUUUAGGUUCCUCUGUUCAACGCAUAACCUGUUCUUAGUUUUGAUGCCUUGAUGGGCUAGUGGUGAUCUUUCUAGUAGCAGGAAUAGUAAUAAAUGCUUCUCCUCCUCCUCCUCCAGUUUUCCAGUCCACGCCGCCUCCUCCCGACGCUCCCGAUCAGCCAUUUUUCCCGGAGAAUCCUUCCACGCCUGACCAGUCUCAGCUCCCUCCUCCUCCUCCGCCUCCUGCUUCCUCCGACGCCAAUGGCGGAUUACCGAUUCCGACGGCUACUACUCAGCAGGCGAAGCCUGGGAAGAAAUUCGCGAUCGUCAUAUCCGUUGGAGUCGUCACGCUCGGUAUGCUCUCAGCUCUAGCUUUCUUCUUGUAUCGCCACAAAGCUAAACACGCAAGCGACACUCAGAAACUCGUUAGCAGAGGAGGCGAUGGCGGUUCUCGAAGAUUCCAGGAAGAUCCGCUUCCACCGACGUCUUCCACGUUUCUCUAUAUGGGAACCGUUGAACCGAGCCGCGAACCGGCAAGUGAAUCUAUUGGACCGGUUAAUACUUCUCCGUACCGGAAAUUAAAUUCGGUUACGAGAUCAGAUCGAUACCGGCCGAGUCCUGAGCUUCAACCGCUUCCACCGUUAGCUAAACCGCCGCAACCGUCUGAGAACUCUCCCUCGGCCUUGUCUCCUUCUACGUCGUCUUCCGACGAAGAAUGCCGCGGCACCGCGUUUUACACGCCGCAUGGAUCUGCUAUCAGCAGCGACGACGGUUACUACACGGCGUUUCCUCGGUCAGCCAACAGCAACGGCCAUUCCUCAGGAUCGAUUCCUCACUCGAAGAGGACUUCUCCGAAGUCGAAGUUUGGAUCUAGGUCGCCGGAGAUGAAGCACGUUAUCAUUCCGUCGAUAAAGCAGAAACCGCCGCCAAUACAAUCUCCACCACUAAGGGGCUUGGAAACUGAUCCUUAUCCACAGAACAAGCCUAAGUUCUCUCAGCCUCCUCCUCCGCCGAAUAGAGCGGCGUUUCAGGCGAUUACGCAGGAUAAGUCACCUCUCAGCACACGAGUGUCACCACGGAGGUCUCCUCCUCCUCCACUCCAUACGCCACCUCCACCUCCACCUCCUCCUCCUCCUCAGAUACGGCCAAGAGAUUUCCAGAUACCUCGAAAACUCAGCAAUCCAGAAGCAACGAAGCCAGACGAUCAAUCAAGAAAACUAGCAUUCAAGACUCCAAGUCCUCAAUCGAAAGCUGUUGAAGAGGCCAAAAGUGUAUCAGCUGACGGGGACACGGAUCCAAGCAGGCCAAAGUUGAAGCCACUCCACUGGGACAAAGUACGCGCGAGCUCUGAUCGUGCCACAGUUUGGGACCAGCUCAAAUCAAGCUCAUUCCAGUGCGUAUUUAUUGUCUUUGUUAAACAUACGUUUGAAUUUGCCUUUUCAAUAACUAUUUUGAAUCUUUGUGGUAUUAUUAAACAGAGUGAACGAAGAUCGGAUGGAGCAUCUGUUUGGUUGCAGUUCAGCAAGUUCAGCUCCAAAGGAACCUGUGAGAAGGUCAGUGAUGCCUCCAGCCGAGAAUGAGAACAGAGUACUUGAUCCAAAGAAAUCGCAGAACAUUGCAAUCCUCUUAAGAGCACUGAAUGUAACUCGUGAGGAAGUGUCAGAAGCUCUUUUAGAUGGUAAGUUUUUGUCUCCAUUUUAAUUCGUUACUUAGGGUAAAGUUCCAUUUGCACCAAGUACCAAUUGGCCUUUGCCUUGAUCGUUAUAAGUUUUAUAGGUUCCUCUAUUAGACACAUAGCGUUUUGAGUAUUGAUGCGGUGAUGGGUUAAUGGAAAUCUUUCUGUUAGUAGGAAUAGUAAUAGAGAUGCUCAUAAGAGGUAUUGGUGGUAAAAGGAUAAAUAAUAAUACUAAAGAGGCUUUGGCCACAAGCUACAAUCAUUUCAAAGAACAAUGACAUAGGAAAUGAUUUUAUCUGCUUUAUAUUGCUUCUUACAUGAUUGCGCAACUUAUGAAAAAAAACUAAUCCUUUAAUUUACAGGGGUAGCAAGCAUGAUGUAGAGCUAUAUACUUGAAACUUAUUAAGAUUCUGAAAAACAUAAAUUGAUUUCCUUAUGAAUUGUUAUCUAAGAUGCUUUUAAAUUUUCGUUCCUAUUAUUUCAAUCUAAUUAAACUUGUGGCACGGUAACAGGUAAUCCCGAGAGCUUAGGUGCAGAACUUCUAGAGACUUUGGUGAAGAUGGCUCCAACAAAGGAAGAAGAGAUAAAACUCCGAGAGUACUCUGGCGAUGUCUCAAAACUAGGAACAGCUGAAAGAUUCCUUAAAACCAUUCUCGAUAUCCCUUUUGCAUUCAAACGAGUUGAAGCAAUGUUGUAUAGAGCCAAUUUUGAUGCAGAAGUCAAGUAUCUAAGGAACUCUUUCCAGACACUAGAGGUUAGUUAGUCACUCGCUAAAUGAUUCAAUCUCUCAAAUGAAUUUGUCUUGAUAGUCUCAACCCCUUGUUUGCUUUUGUAGGAAGCAAGCUUAGAAUUAAAAGCAAGCAGGCUAUUCCUUAAGCUCCUCGAAGCUGUUCUAAUGACAGGAAACAGAAUGAACGUUGGCACAAAUCGUGGAGAAGCCAAAGCCUUCAAACUCGAUACUCUUUUAAAACUCGUGGACAUAAAAGGAGUUGACGGCAAAACCACAUUGCUUCACUUUGUCGUCCAAGAAAUCACAAAAUCCGAGGCAACCACAACAACAAUAGAUGAAACCAUCCUCCAUGAAAACAAAGACGGUUUCAGAAAGCAAGGAUUACAAGUCGUGGCUGGACUGAGUAGAGAUCUGGCAAACGUAAAAAAAUCAGCCGGAAUGGAUUCCGACGUACUGAGUGGGUACGUGACAAAGCUCGAGACGGGUCUUGAGAAACUCCGAGCUUUUGUCAAGACAGAGACAACAACAACAACUCCAGGGAAGUUCUUUGAUUCGAUGAAAACGUUUCUCAAAGAGGCCGAAGAAGAGAUUCGAAAGAUCAAAGGAGGCGAAAGAAAAGCUCUGUCAAUGGUUAAAGAAGUAACGGAGUAUUUCCACGGAGACGCUGCAAAAGAAGAAGCACAUCCUUUGAGAAUCUUCAUGGUCGUGAGAGAUUUUCUCGGAGUUCUUGAUAACGUUUGUAAAGAAGUUAAGACGAUGCAGGAAAUGUCGUCAGCGAUGGGUUCGGCUUCAGCUAGAUCGUUCAGGAUUUCAGCUACAGCUUCGUUACCGGUUCUUCACAGGUAUAAAUCAAGACAAGAAGAUACAAGCUCAGAUAAUGAACACAGCAGCAACUCUUCUACGUGAUGAAACACACAAAACAAAAAGCUGUACAGUUUCUUACACCGGAGACAAGGGAUUAAGUUGGUGUUUCUCAAACCGGAGGAGAUAUUGAGUUAGUUAACUCGGAGAAUAUGGGCCGGUUCAUGAAGGAACAAACACUACAAUGAUCAAAUUUUCGUUAACAAAUAAGUUUCUUUGUUAAUUUUUCUUUUUUCGUCGGCAGUUGAAAUAUAGAUAUAUAUGUAUAAAUAUAUCCUAAUAUCUUGAGGUUAUUAGUGGAGAUUUUGUUUAUUUUGGACGUUAUAAUCUUUAUCCAAUUCAAAAAGUUAGUAGUCGUAUGACCACAUAAGUAAGAAUUACGAGAUAGGUUGGAAUCGUGUUUACAUCUUUUUUUUUCUUCUUGUUUUCUUGUUCUAAAGGAAUCAGAAUCCAAUACGAAAGUACAUAAUAAAAGGAGAUUUGUAAAGGAAACGUACAAAUGUAUGGUUGUAAUAUGAGUGCACGGAUUUGAAUUUGUGACGAUGGAUGUUUCCAAUAUUAUUUAAUGAAAUACGAACAUGUGAUGUGAAUGAGACCGAUUCUUCUGUACAGCUUGUACCACACGUCUCUCUCUUUCUUACUGCAUUUGUCCUCUUCUGCGUCACUUUUUUCUCCCACCACGAUCUUUUCGUUGCAGUUUCCCAUUUUUGGAGGUAUUAAAAAUAACAAAACAAAGUAGCGUCGUAUUUAACUUUGGUAGAUUCCUGCUCUUUUUUUUUUGUCGUUUCUUUCUCAACAAGACACUGAGUUAAAAACAACAAAACCACUAAACCGAAACGAGUAAUCAAGCUCUAUAUAAAUAAACCGGAUCUAACAUUCAUAACCAACCAACUUAGAUUUUGACCACCAAAUGUGUAUCUUUCUUUCAUUUCAUUUUAUUAUGUUACACUUUUUUUUCAGGGAGAAGAUCACAAGAAACGCUUAAAACUCGCCAUUCUUGGGACUGAAGAAAACGAUUAAGACAUGGUGGAGGAAGAUCUGGUCACGGGUAGAAAGAAAGGAGAGGCUCCGAUUUUCUUAGAACCUAACACAUUCUUCACCAGAAGUUUCCAUCUAACCUCAUCCUUCUUGCUCUGUUUCUCCAUCUUCUCCUUAAAGUUUCCGCAUAGUGGGACUCGACACUGAUCAGAAUCAGCGCAAACACGUGAAUGCAACUCAAGGAGUUGCCACAUUCUCUUGCAAUGCACGCAACCUCCCGGAACCCUAAGCUUGCAUCCAGCGAAAUGCCUGAUCAGCGAUUCCAACCCUUUGCAAGCUUCGUAGUGACACGUGGCGUGGUUCGGUUUCAAAUCUUUAUCGUGCGGUCCUAUCGUUUUACACCCGUCUCGGCAUAUAUGAACAAGCGCUUCCAUCGCUUCGUAUAGCUGCGAGUAUAUCCUCUCUUCAUUGCGUUUUCUGAUCCUCUCUUUCCGAGCCUGCACAUAUGUUUAACAACGUUUUAGAAAAAAAAUGGUAACGAGCCAGAGUUGAAAAAUGUAAUUAAUUACUUACGUUUUCUUCGAUGAAGACAGAGUCUCUAAGUUCUUUCUCGAGAAAGGGAUGGCUUUUCUUCAUAGCUGUCCAUGCUUCUGUCGCGUAAAGCUCCUUGAAGUGUUUCAUGAUCGUACGGUGAGAUAUAACGCUGAGCCGAGGGAAAUCACAUAGCAGGGCAAGCUGGAAGACGUCGAUUACGUUCUCAGUGGUGAGCAAACCAUGUUCUAGAUGCCAUUCGCAGACCCGUUUCAGCUGAGGAACCACGUACGCGUGAGACAGAAGCAGCAAGUGCAUGAUGUACUCAUUCAUCUCUUCUUUCUUAUAGCUACAAAAAAAGAAAGAAAGUCAGGUUUAAUAAAAACUAAGAGAAUGUUAAAAGAAGAGGUAAAUAUUAUAGAGAAGUGUACCAAGAAGAGUAGAGGAAACGAAUGAAAACUCGGACAGCCUCAUGAGGGACGCCACGGAUUGAGAUUGUAUACCACUUUCCAUGUUUUUUGGCUUGCUUCAACAUGCCUUUGAUCACACUUGAAGCAGUCCCCUGUUAAAUUAAAAACCAACAAAAAAAAAGACUUAAAGUCUAACCUAGAGAUCCAAACAAUACAAGGAUCAAUAUAAGAUUUCAAAGGAGAGAGCAUUACAAUGAUAUUGGCAUGAGCAUAGACGAUGCCGCCAUUAUCAGUGUAGAUGACAACAUUAGCUUUGUAUCCGUCAUUGAAAAGACGAUCCCACAUAUCUUUUGUGGCUGUGGGAACGCAGGUGUGCUCUGGAGCUACAUCGUUACGGUAUCUUUUUUGGUGACCAUCAGAUUUUGAAGGAAGAGGUGGAGGGAUCGGUACAGAAGAAGAAUCAGCAGCUUUUUGAAGAUCAACACAAGCCAUCACCAUUUCUCCUUUUUAUCUUUUCCCUCCCUGAAGCAAAACCAAUUGAAACUUUUGAUUAUAUGUUAAAUACAGAGAUCUUUGCUUUUACUUCACACAAUAAAAAUUCUAUGAAUAAUCCAUUAUCAUUUCACAAAUGUUUUUAAAACCUUUAUUUACGAUCAAGAAUCAUAACAUAUCUUUGAAACUUUUUUCAAGAUUCCAUGAAACAGUUUAACCAUAAUCGUUUUUUCCUCACGCAAUACAGAAAAACAAACAAUGGUCGAGAUCAAACACUAGAUAAUUCAAAACAGAUGAAUAGAGAAAAUGUUAAGAAACAAGAACAUACCUCCUUCAAACGAGCUAAGCUAGAAUCUUGAUUCUGACCGAACCGUUAGAGCAAGUUCAAUCAAAAUUAACUCAAUUAUGAGAAUAUAUAUAAAAGUCUCCUCCUUCCUCUAACCAGCAGGAGAAGAAACUCUAUAGAGAAGCUUCAAAACAGAUCACAGAUCUCUUCUCAUUAUAUAAACACAAACACACUCUCGAAACAAGGGAACACGACAAAAGAUCUUUUGAAGAAAAUAAAUAACCACGUACGCGUGAGACAGAAGCAGCAAGUGCAUGAUGUACUCAUUCAUCUCUUCUUUCUUAUAGCUACAAAAAAAGAAAGAAAGUCAGGUUUAAUAAAAACUAAGAGAAUGUUAAAAGAAGAGGUAAAUAUUAUAGAGAAGUGUACCAAGAAGAGUAGAGGAAACGAAUGAAAACUCGGACAGCUUCAUGAGGGACGCCACGGAUUGAGAUUGUAUACCACUUUCCAUGUUUUUUGGCUUGCUUCAACAUGCCUUUGAUCACACUUGAAGCAGUCCCCUGUUAAAUUAAAAACCAACAAAAAAAAAGACUUAAAGUCUAACCUAGAGAUCCAAACAAUACAAGGAUCAAUAUAAGAUUUCAAAGGAGAGAGCAUUACAAUGAUAUUGGCAUGAGCAUAGACGAUGCCGCCAUUAUCAGUGUAGAUGACAACAUUAGCUUUGUAUCCGUCAUUGAAAAGACGAUCCCACAUAUCUUUUGUGGCUGUGGGAACGCAGGUGUGCUCUGGAGCUACAUCGUUACGGUAUCUUUUUUGGUGACCAUCAGAUUUUGAAGGAAGAGGUGGAGGGAUCGGUACAGAAGAAGAAUCAGCAGCUUUUUGAAGAUCAACACAAGCCAUCACCAUUUCUCCUUUUUAUCUUUUCCCUCC